CAGCCGCCGCGGUAAUACGUAGGUGGCAAGCGUUGUCCGGAAUUAUUGGGCGUAAAGGGCUCGCAGGCGGUUUCUUAAGUCUGAUGUGAAAGCCCCCGGCUCAACCGGGGAGGGUCAUUGGAAACUGGGAAACUUGAGUGCAGAAGAGGAGAGUGGAAUUCCACGUGUAGCGGUGAAAUGCGUAGAGAUGUGGAGGAACACCAGUGGCGAAGGCGACUCUCUGGUCUGUAACUGACGCUGAGGAGCGAAAGCUAGGGGAGCAAAUGGGAUUAGAUACCCGCGUAGUCCCUGUCUCUUAUAC
RNAcentral lists this ribosomal RNA (301 nucleotides) under uncultured bacterium. RNAcentral describes it as "partial 16S ribosomal RNA". It matches the Rfam family "Bacterial small subunit ribosomal RNA", at positions 509 to 807 of the family's 1533-position model. The record is from RNAcentral.